GAAAUCCAAAUACGAGAAGCAGUCGUUCGCCCAAAUUGUUUAACCAUUCUUCGCUUUAAAGGUAUAUUCAUGAUUGCCUCUCUAUUCCUUAUACUCUCUGCUAUUUUUUUUGGUACUGAUUUCUUUAUUUUUGUAAUGUUUGUUUGCUCAUCAUUUUUGCAUUUUCAUGUUUGUAUUUUUCUUUUCUUCCACAACCUUUUCCUUUAGAUGAACACAGAAUUUAAAAUAUGUUUACUUUCAUAUUAUUCAUAUCUUAAAAGUAAAGAAAAACAUUGAGUUCUUAUUUAAUUUGGUUAUUUUGUGUUUCUUCAAUUGGAAAACCAUUUAUAACUUUCUUAUUAAAAUGUAAAAUUAUAUUAUUCCUGUUUAUACAUAAUUAGAUGUUUAUGAUUAUUGUCAUAACUCAAUUUUCCCCAUUCAUCAACAUUAACACUUGCUAUUUUCCCACUUUUUUAUAACAGAGUCAAGACCUCCAUCAAAGAGAAGAAAAGUCAUGAAGAAAUUGCAAAACAAAGCCCAACGAAUUAAACAACGUGCUGCUCAAAACUAUUCAAAUUUUGCUAUUUUAAUAGCUCCUUCCCACUAUUAACAUCUCAAUGUAUAUACAAACAUGUGUACUAUUUUAACAUAACAAGUAGCUUAUAAAAUAUGUGAUUUCUUUUUUUUCCACUUAUACUUCCUUAGUUAAGCAUAAUGCUACGAGUUAAAUCUCAUUGUAUAUAUAAACAAUUUUAUUUUGUC
This 741-nucleotide long non-coding RNA is filed under the name Prunus dulcis (almond). RNAcentral describes it as "sRNA ncRNA". The record is from RNAcentral. Lineage: Eukaryota; Viridiplantae; Streptophyta; Magnoliopsida; Rosales; Rosaceae.